RNAcentral lists this ribosomal RNA (328 nucleotides) under uncultured Chloroflexota bacterium. Its description in RNAcentral is "bacterial SSU rRNA". It matches the Rfam family "Bacterial small subunit ribosomal RNA", at positions 28 to 351 of the family's 1533-position model. Lineage: Bacteria; Bacillati; Chloroflexota. The record is from RNAcentral.
GAUGAACGCUGGCGGCGUGCCUAAUACAUGUAAGUCGAACGGAGAGCAUUAGCUUCGGUUGGUGCUUUUAGUGGCGAACGGGUGAGUAACGCGUUGGUGACCUGCCCCGAAGAGGGGGAUAACAGCUCGAAAGGGCUGCUAAUACCCCAUAAUGUCCGAGAGGCCAGAGGCUUUCGGACGAAAGGAGCAAUCCGCUUUGGGAGGGGCCUGCGUCCCAUCAGCUAGUUGGUAGGGUAAAAGCCUACCAAGGCGACGACGGGUAGGGGACCUGAGAGGGUGACCCCCCACACUGGCACUGAAACACGGGCCAGACACCUACGGGUGGCAG